Molecule: ribosomal RNA, 420 nt
Filed under: Fusobacteriota bacterium
Lineage: Bacteria; Fusobacteriati; Fusobacteriota
Description: Fusobacteria bacterium partial 16S ribosomal RNA
Rfam family: Bacterial small subunit ribosomal RNA
Source: RNAcentral
UGGGGGAUAUUGCACAAUGGGCGAAAGCCUGAUGCAGCGACGCCGCGUGGGGGAUGAAGGCCUUCGGGUUGUAAACUUCUUUUGCUCUGAACAAGGCAUGCCUUUGGGGUGUGUUGAGUGUAGGGGUUGAUUAGCGCCGGCUAACUACGUGCCAGCAGCCGCGGUAAUACGUAGGGAGCGAGCGUUGUCCGGAAUUAUUGGGCGUAAAGGGCUUGUAGGUGGCUGGUUGCGUCUGUCGUGAAAGCUCAUGGCUUAACUGUGGGUUUGCGGUGGGUACGGGCUGGCUUGAGUGCAGUAGGGGAGGAUGGAAUUCCUGGUGUAGCGGUGGAAUGCGCAGAUAUCAGGAGGAAUACCGGUGGCGAAGGCGGGUCUCUGGGCUGUUACUGACGCUGAGGAGCGAAAGCGUGGGGAGCGAACAGG